UGAUUUGGAGAUGCAGGAAUGAUAUUAGAUUUGAGAGGAAACAUUUUGAUGAAGAUCAUUUAUGCCGUGAGAUUGCCCUCCUUAUUCAUGCUCGUGGUAGAAGUUGCAAGAAAUGGAUGAAAGGACUUAGAAUUCUCAACAAUUAUCCUUAGUUCACUACUUGUUAGAAUAGAUUUAGCUAGUUAUACUAGUUGAUUGUAUUAGCAAUGGUAGUUAGUCGAUACUACCAUUAAGAACACUCAUAUGUAUAUUUGUUAUAUCAAUAGAAGCCAAUUUUAAUUAAAA
Molecule: long non-coding RNA, 285 nt
Filed under: Nicotiana benthamiana
Lineage: Eukaryota; Viridiplantae; Streptophyta; Magnoliopsida; Solanales; Solanaceae
Description: long non-coding RNA (NBEN_LNC006716)
Source: RNAcentral